AAGACUAUAGACCUGCGGAGUACCUGCGGAAGGAUCAUUAACGUUGGGGACUAACAAUCCCUCAGCGAGAUAGAACCCUUGCCUUUUCGAGUACCACACGUUUCCUCGGCAGGUACGCCUGCCAAUGGGGACCACAACAAAACCUUUUGUAAUAGCAGUAAACGUCUUAAGAACAAAACUUUUAAAACUUUCAACAAUGGAUCUCU
Molecule: unclassified non-coding RNA, 206 nt
Filed under: soil metagenome
Description: partial contains 5.8S ribosomal RNA, internal transcribed spacer 2, and large subunit ribosomal RNA
Source: RNAcentral